This 626-nucleotide ribosomal RNA is filed under the name uncultured archaeon. Its description in RNAcentral is "bacterial SSU rRNA". It matches the Rfam family "Archaeal small subunit ribosomal RNA", at positions 146 to 774 of the family's 1478-position model. The record is from RNAcentral.
AUAAUACUCCAUAGAUUAUGGAAUCUGGAAUGAUCCAUGGAUGAAAGUUCCGGCGCUUAAGGAUCGGUCUGCGGCCUAUCAGGUUGUAGUGGGUGUAACGUACCUACUAGCCGAUGACGGGUAUGGGCCUUGAGAGAGGGAGCCCAGAGUUGGAUUCUGAGACACGAAUCCAGGCCCUACGGGGCGCAGCGGUCGCGAAAACUUCACAAUGGGGGCAACCCCGAUGAGGGAAUUCCUAAUGCUAACACAUUUGUGUUAGCUUUUCUUUAGCGUAGAUAACUAGAGGAAUAAGGGCUGGGAAAGACGGGUGCCAGCCGCCGCGGUAAUACCUGCAGCCCAAGUGGUGGUCGAGUUUAUUGAGUCUAAAACGUUCGUAGCCGGUUCGGUAAAUCUUUGGGUAAAUCGGAGGGCUUAACCUUCCGACUUCCGAGGAGACUGCCGAACUUGGGACCGGGAGAGGCUAGAGGUACUUCUGGGGUAGGGGUAAAAUCCUGUAAUCCUAGAAGGACCACCGGUGGCGAAGGCGUCUAGCUAGAACGGAUCCGACGGUGAGGGACGAAGCCCUGGGUCGCAAACGGGAUUAGAUACCCCGGUAGUCCAGGGUGUAAACGCUGCAGACUUGGUGU